AUUCCCCCUAGUAACUGCGAGUGAAGCGGGAAAAGCUCAAAUUUAAAAUCUGGCGGUCUCUGGCCGUCCGAGUUGUAGUCUGGAGAAGUGUUUUCCGCAUCGGACCGUGUACAAGUUUCCUGGAAUGGAGCGUCAUAGAGGGUGAGAAUCCCGUCUUUGACACGGACUACCGAUGCUUUGUGAUGCGCUCUCGAAGAGUCGAGUUGUUUGGGAAUGCAGCUCAAAAUGGGUGGUGAAUUCCAUCUAAAGCUAAAUAUUGGCGAGAGACCGAUAGCGAACAAGUACCGUGAGGGAAAGAUGAAAAGCACUUUGGAAAGAGAGUUAAACAGUACGUGAAAUUGUUGAAAGGGAAACGCUUGAAGUCAGUCGCGUCUGCCGGAACUCAGCCUUGCAAUCUUGCUUGGUGUAUUUUCUGGCUGACGGGCCAGCAUCAAUUUUGAUCGGCGGAAAAGGGUCAGAGAAAUGUGGCACCUUCGGGUGUGUUAUAGUCUCUGAUCACAUACAUCGGUUGGGAUUGAGGAAUUCAGCAUGCCUUUAUGGUCGGGGUUCGCCCACGUUCAUGCUUAGGAUGCUUGGCGUAAUGGCUUUAAACGACCCGUCUUGAAACACGGACCAAGGAGUCUAACAUGCCCGCGAGUGUUCGGGUGGAAAACCCGUGCGCGUAAUGAAAGUGAAAGUUGGGAGCUCUGUCAUGGAGUGCACCGACGCCCGGACCAGACCUUCUGUGACGGAUCUGCGGUAGAGCGUGUAUGUUGGGACCCGAAAGAUGGUGAACUAUGCCUGAAUAGGGUGAAGCCAGAGGAAACUCUGGUGGAGGCUCGUAGCGAUUCUGACGUGCAAAUCGAUCGUCAAAUUUGGGUAUAGGGGCGAAAGACUAAUCGAACCAU
This 887-nucleotide ribosomal RNA is filed under the name Bondarzewiaceae sp. CFMR FP150378. RNAcentral describes it as "eukaryotic LSU rRNA". It matches the Rfam family "Eukaryotic large subunit ribosomal RNA", at positions 73 to 943 of the family's 3401-position model. The record is from RNAcentral. Lineage: Eukaryota; Fungi; Basidiomycota; Agaricomycetes; Russulales; Bondarzewiaceae.